GGAGGGGUGACCGAGCGGUUUAUGGUGGCGGUCUUGAAAACCGUUGUCUCGAGUUUCGGGACCGUGGGUUCGAAUCCCACCCCCUCCG
This 88-nucleotide transfer RNA is filed under the name Chloroflexota bacterium. Its description in RNAcentral is "Chloroflexi bacterium (cold seep metagenome) tRNA-Ser". It matches the Rfam family "tRNA". From Rfam's summary of the family: Transfer RNA (tRNA) molecules are approximately 80 nucleotides in length. The record is from RNAcentral. RNAcentral also lists the same sequence under 1 other name. Lineage: Bacteria; Bacillati; Chloroflexota.